AGAGUUUGAUCCUGGCUCAGAACGAACGCUGGCGGCAGGCCUAACACAUGCAAGUCGAGCGCUGUAGCAAUACAGAGCGGCGCACGGGUGAGUAACACGUGGGAACGUGCCCUUUGGUUCGGAAUAACUCAGGGAAACUUGAGCUAAUACCGGAUGAGCCCUAACGGGGAAAGAUUUAUCGCCGAAGGAGCGGCCCGCGUUGGAUUAGCUAGUUGGUGGGGUAAAAGCCUACCAAGGCAACGAUCCAUAGCUGGUUUGAGAGAACGACCAGCCACACUGGGACUGAGACACGGCCCAGACUCCUACGGGAGGCAGCAGUGGGGAAUCUUGGACAAUGGGGGAAACCCUGAUCCAGCCAUGCCGCGUGAGUGAUGAAGGCCCUAGGGUUGUAAAACUCUUUCGGCGGGGACGAUAAUGACGGUACCCGCAGAAGAAGCUCCGGCUAACUUCGUGCCAGCAGCCGCGGUAAUACGAAGGGGGCUAGCGUUGUUCGGAAUUACUGGGCGUAAAGCGCGCGCAGGCGGUUCUUCAAGUCAGAGGUGAAAGCCCAGAGCUCAACUCUGGAAUGGCCUUUGAGACUAGAGAACUAGGGUACGGGAGAGGUGAGUGGAAUUCCGAGUGUAGAGGUGAAAUUCGUAGAUAUUCGGAAGAACACCAGUGGCGAAGGCGGCUCACUGGCCCGUUACCGACGCUCAGGCGCGACAGCGUGGGGAGCAAACAGGAUUAGAUACCCCAGUAGUCC
This 742-nucleotide ribosomal RNA is filed under the name uncultured bacterium. Its description in RNAcentral is "bacterial SSU rRNA". It matches the Rfam family "Bacterial small subunit ribosomal RNA", at positions 8 to 796 of the family's 1533-position model. The record is from RNAcentral.